GAUGAACGCUGGCGGCGUGCCUAAUACAUGCAAGUCGAGCGAACAGACGAGGAGCUUGCUCCUCUGACGUUAGCGGCGGACGGGUGAGUAACACGUGGAUAACCUACCUAUAAGACUGGGAUAACUUCGGGAAACCGGAGCUAAUACCGGAUAAUAUAUUGAACCGCAUGGUUCAAUAGUGAAAGACGGUUUUGCUGUCACUUAUAGAUGGAUCCGCGCCGCAUUAGGUAGUUGGUAAGGUAACGGCUUACCAAGGCAACGAUGCGUAGCCGACCUGAGAGGGUGGUCGGCCACACUGGAACUGAGACACGGUACAGACUCCUACGGGAGGCAGCAGUAGGGAAUCUUCCGCAAUGGGCGAAAGCCUGACGGAGCAACGCCGCGUGAGUGAUAGAGGUCUUCGGAUCGUAAAACUCUGUUAUUAGGGAAGAACAAAUGUGUAAGUAACUAUGCACGUCUUGACGGUACCUAAUCAGAAAGCCACGGCUAACUACGUG
Molecule: ribosomal RNA, 497 nt
Filed under: uncultured bacterium
Lineage: Bacteria
Description: partial 16S ribosomal RNA
Rfam family: Bacterial small subunit ribosomal RNA
Source: RNAcentral